Zalophus californianus (California sea lion) is the source of this 1212-nucleotide long non-coding RNA. RefSeq lists it as uncharacterized. The transcript has 3 exons. NCBI's taxonomy places the organism in Eukaryota, Metazoa, Chordata, Mammalia, Carnivora, Otariidae. The record is from RefSeq and is a predicted model, not a curated record.
AAAAGCCCAAGCUCUCUCCUCUACACCAGUGGUUCUGUGCAGCCCCGGCAGUCAAAAAUCCUGAGAUCAAGAGCGAGGCCGCCUAAGAGGAUUGCCUUGUGCCUGUCUGCAGUUUCACCCCAGGCUGUUCUUUAAUGUCUGCGUUAACCACAUCUGGUUUAUCAGAAUGCUGUGGGCCUACGAGUCCAUGCCUGUGACUCUGUCCCCUAGAUCCUACGGGCAGUCCCUAGUGUCUACAAGAGAAAUCAAAAAGCAAGGCGUCUGGCUCCAGGAAAGGCAUCCAAGCCCCCUAGCCAUCCAGACCUGUCCAGAAGGAACUCAUGUCGGUGUUUAAUCAUGCUUUUUGGCAAAGCGCUAUUCCUCACAUCUAAUUUAGACCUCUCCCACCGAUUUCUUCAUCCUCGGUCUUCAGUGAGAAGACAGGACACUUGGUUACCUCCUUCCAAAUAUUCCAGACUGUUACUGAGUUAUCUUCUCCCCUCCAGUCUUCUCUUCCCUAGGAUAAAUAAUCCCAACUGAUUCAACGUUUCUGUGGAGCUCUUCAGAGAAAAAUCCUCUAUAAUUAUAUUAAGUAAGAAGAGUAAUAAUUCCCAUAAUUGUGUCUUUCAACCCACCCCCUGGCCAGGACAUUUUGUUUCCCAAACUAAUGCUGCUCAUGUCACAGAUACUGCAGCUGCAGAAAGGAGAAGCAAGGAUGGAAGUGAACAUCCCCAAAUGGGCUCCACACAGAUGUGCCCAACCCGGUGUUUCAGGAAAGCAGGAAGAGGCAGAGAGAAACGGAGGAUCGGUUGGUACCAUCUGCAAAUUCAGUGGACUUCAGAGAUAAUCUCCAGUGUCAGAUCCAUUUCAAGCAAGGGAAAGAAGGUUUUCGUGGUUGUGCUGGAAGUUCCUGAACCCCCUGCCCCGCCCCGCUUCACAGAUCCUUUCGAGACACAGCAAACGUCUAGAGAGUGGCCUUCUCCCACGUGUCCAUCCUGAAAGUGGGCCCGCCAUAUACCAACUUCUUCACUGUGAAGAUUAGUUUGUCUUGAGAUAAGGGUUCUUCAAACUACAACCUGAGGACCCAGACUGACCUGCUACCUGGUUUUGUGUAGCCCUGAACUAAAACUGGCUUUUAUAAUUUGGUUGAAAUAAAUUAAAAGAACAAUACUAUUCCAUGACACGUGGGGAUCACAUGCAAUUGGAAUUUUAGUGUUCACAAAUAAAGUUUUA